UUAAAUUGAAGAGUUUGAUCAUGGCUCAGAUUGAACGCUGGCGGCAGGCCUAACACAUGCAAGUCGAACGGUAACAGAAAGAAGCU
RNAcentral lists this ribosomal RNA (86 nucleotides) under Escherichia coli. RNAcentral describes it as "partial 16S ribosomal RNA". It matches the Rfam family "Bacterial small subunit ribosomal RNA", at positions 1 to 84 of the family's 1533-position model. Lineage: Bacteria; Pseudomonadati; Pseudomonadota; Gammaproteobacteria; Enterobacterales; Enterobacteriaceae. The record is from RNAcentral.